Molecule: non-coding RNA, 282 nt
Organism: Paramuricea clavata
Lineage: Eukaryota; Metazoa; Cnidaria; Anthozoa; Malacalcyonacea; Plexauridae
Source: the annotation of a GenBank genome assembly
GGCUAACACAUUUUAAUAUUUUUACAAUGCCUUGUUCAUAUUCGUAUGAGCUAUAUGGCCUAUUUUUUAUUCUGCUAGCAAAUUUGAUUGUAUUUCUGGGGGUUGAAAGGUCUCAGAUUUCAUAAUUUUCUGGGGGAGCAAGCCCUCGAACCAGACAGAUUUUCAGAUUUUGCACUGGAGGGGUGCCGAAAAUCCAGGGGGAAGGUGAGCCAGAGGGUGUGUAGCACUGCCAAGCAAAUUUUACAUACAAUAUUACAAAUAAAUUUCCAUAUUAAACCACUA